ACAGUUCUCUGUUUGCAUUUACUUGCCAGAACAUGUGUUAGAAUCUACUUCUGCAGAAGACCAGGUGAAACAACUAGCCUCGUGGGACUGAGCAACUACUAGACUAUUGGACUUCCCAUCCACAGCUGCCCAUUAGUUGGACUAGAGACUAGCUUCUUCACUUGUUCAUUGAACAGGAAGAGAAGAUGUUGGAACGGAAAGUUUUAAACAAACACUACCCACCUGACUUUGACUCAGCGAAGAUCCCGAAACUCAAGCUACCAAAGGACCGGCAGUAUGUGGUGCAGCUGAUGGCCCCCUUCAACAUGAGGUGUAAGACAUGUGGAGAAUACAUCCACAAGGGGAAGAAGUUCAACACACAAAAGGAAACAGUCCAGAACGAGGCAUAACUGGGCCUGCCAAUCUUCCGAUUUUACAUCAAAUGCACAUGCUGCUUGGCCGAGAUCAUCUUCAACACAGACCAGAGAACACAGAUUACACCUUGGAGCACGGGACCAUGCGCAACUUCAGGCCCCGAAGCUUCUGGAAGAGGAGGAGAAGUGCGUGCAGAAGGAGUGAGAGGAUGAGGAACUGAACAACCCCAUGAAGUCACGUGGACUUUGAGGCCAUGCUGCGGCAACACCACCUGUCUCAGGAGCAGUGGUGACAGCAGUAGGAGGAGGAAGAAGAGCAGGAGACAGAGGCCUUGCUGGAGGAGGCUCGUCAUUGAAGGCUUCCGGAGGACUCUGACUCAGAGGAUGAGGCUCCACCUUCCCGACCACAGGCAGCUUUAAGACCCAACCCCACAGCCAUCCUCGACAAGGUACCAAAGACCAAGAGGAAAAACAGAGGCCCUGUGCAGCAAAGCACAGUUGGCAGACUUGGUUGUAACAAAGAAGGUAAUGACGGAGGCUAGCAGGGGCUCAGAGCAGGUCCGGGUGCCUGCCACUGGUGCCCCUGAGAGCAGAAAGGUGGCCAACCCUACACCCCAGACACCUGGUGCCUCCUCUCUGAGCCAGCUGGGUGCAUAUGGGCACAGCGAGGACAGAGACAGCUGAGCAUCACUGAUGCUCACCCUGGCAUCAAAGACCCAAGAAAUGAGGAAAUGGGAUCAAGGAAACACCUUCAGCAAAGGCCUCAGGACCAUUUCUGCCAUGGGUCCUGGCAAGGUGUGGAGAAACAAUGUCCCCAGGACAGAAAGCCUGGUCCACUCCUUCAGUCCUUGAGUUGUGUGGAGCCUGUUGGCUGCUCCCUUCCUGCCACAGAUCUAAACACUGACAUGGAACAGGGGACAGUGACAAUGGACACCAUCUCCAACCAUACACAAGGUCUGGGGCUUCACCUGCAUGCAAGACAGUAGUACUGUAAAAAAACAAGAAUAGAAAAUGAAUUGAAAAGCAAACAACAAAAAAGCAGUUACCCAUUAUGCCUAAGCCAUGUUGGGUGCCACCUGUAGGCAUGAAUUUUUUGCAACCUACUUUUAAUAGGGUUCAACCUCUCCUCUAGCCCACCACCGAGCAAGAGGGAGUGGAAGACAAAAGUUAUUAGAAUAGGGGGAAGUGGACCUGUUCAGCAAUAGUUCUUUGGGGACAAGCUUGAUCUUCUUUGGCAGCAGUUCAGUCCUGUAGUAAACAUCAACCUGACUCAGCAGCUGCAGACCAGUCCUCUAAGCAGGCAGAUGCCAGGCAGCUGUAGUUCAAUCCUGAAGAAACUGCCAGGCUCUUCAUCUGGCUUUAGGAGAGGCCACAGAGGUGGCAAGCUGCUGCAGGAACCUCAUGAGCCAUUCUUGGGUGAGUUUCUCUCAAUGGCAGCGUUAUCACCAGCUCAGCUCAACAGCACUGUGUAAGGUGAACCAAUGCAUGCGUGUCUUUAGCGAAGAAUAGCAAGGCGAAGCAAACCAAACCAAGGCUUACUGCUCAUCUCCCACUGCUCUGUGGGGGCAUAUUUAUACUCCUUCAUCAAGUGUCCUUUCACGUGUUUGCCUUAACAAGACGUCCUUUCACCUGCGUGCCCCAGCAAAACAUCAUUUGACAUAACUAACUUUCCAAAGAACUAGAAGGUUCCAGUUUAUGUGGGUAUGGGGUUGGGGAUUGGGAGGGGCUAGUUAGUGAGUGUCAUCAGAGUGAAAGUUGCCCCAUCUUUGAGGACUUUUACGAGUCAAACAAGAUAAAAGGGAUAGUGUUGAUAGGUUGGAAUGGUACCUGAUAUAUGGUACUAUGAAGUAAGUAGUACUUAUUUUAUUUUGUCAUUAUCAUUGGUGGCAGUGCUAUCUAUCUUGUAGUAUCAUUGUGAGCAGAGUAUUAAAUGAAAUGAAGUAACAAAGUUCCUAGCAGAUACCCUGAGACACAAGACUCAGCUGGAAUUAGUUCCUGCCCUCCUUCUGAGGGUUCCUCCCCAAUCCAGUCCACUCCAUGAAGCUUUCCCCUGCUUCAUGCCCCCUGGAUCGAAACAUGGAGACAUUUUUGUUAUUUUGGGACCUCAUGGGUGAAGCAUGACUACCAAAUAUACAGGUUGUUGUGGGAGACCUGACUUCUUCCCACUGAGUUUCAGGGAAGCAAGUAAGCUUGCCUAGAGGUAGCAUCCCAGACAACAGAUGGUGAAGUUGAGCUCCCUGUGCUGGUUUAGAUAAGAAUAGCCCCAUGUGCUUGUAUGGAUGAAUAUUUGGUCCCAAAUUAGUGAACUAUUUUGGAAGGAUUAAAAGAUGUCUCCUUGUUGGAGGAGGUGUGUCAAUGGGAGUAGGCUUUGGAGUUUCAAAAACCCAUGCCUAGUACUACCUGAGGAUCCAGAUAUACUACUCUCCUGGGCAUAUACCCAGAUGUUCCAUCAUGCAAUAAGGACCCAUGCUCCACUAUGUUCAUAGCAGCCGUAUGUAUAAUAGCCAGAAGCUGGAAAGAACCCAGAUGUCCCUCAACAAAGGAAUGGAUACCGACAAUGUGAUACAUUUACACAAUGGAGUACUACUCAGCUAUUAAAAACAAUGAAUUUAUGAAGUUCUUAGGCAAAUAGAUAGAACUAGAAAAUCCUG
Molecule: long non-coding RNA, 3004 nt
Filed under: Mus caroli (Ryukyu mouse)
Lineage: Eukaryota; Metazoa; Chordata; Mammalia; Rodentia; Muridae
Description: predicted gene 7598 (MGP_CAROLIEiJ_G0006858.1)
Source: RNAcentral